GUCUUUGUGGCCUAGUUGGUUAGGGCGUAGGUCUCAUACCAGCGAUCCUGUUACACAGGAAUCUACCUACAAGCGUCUAUGCUUAGAAAUCCUAAGAUCGGGAGUUCGACUCUCCCCAAGGACA
RNAcentral lists this transfer RNA (124 nucleotides) under Sporisorium scitamineum. Its description in RNAcentral is "transfer RNA-Met(CAT)". It matches the Rfam family "tRNA". From Rfam's summary of the family: Transfer RNA (tRNA) molecules are approximately 80 nucleotides in length. Their secondary structure includes four short double-helical elements and three loops (D, anti-codon, and T loops). Further hydrogen bonds mediate the characteristic L-shaped molecular structure. tRNAs have two regions of fundamental functional importance: the anti-codon, which is responsible for specific mRNA codon recognition, and the 3' end, to which the tRNAs corresponding amino acid is attached (by aminoacyl-tRNA synthetases). tRNAs cope with the degeneracy of the genetic code in two manners: having more than one tRNA (with a specific anti-codon) for a particular amino acid; and 'wobble' base-pairing, i.e. permitting non-standard base-pairing at the 3rd anti-codon position. The record is from RNAcentral. Lineage: Eukaryota; Fungi; Basidiomycota; Ustilaginomycetes; Ustilaginales; Ustilaginaceae.